Molecule: transfer RNA, 65 nt
Filed under: Mesonemoura metafiligera
Lineage: Eukaryota; Metazoa; Arthropoda; Insecta; Plecoptera; Nemouridae
Description: tRNA-Pro
Source: RNAcentral
CAGAGAAUAGUUUAAUUAAAAUAGUAGUUUUGGAGACUAUUGAUAGGGGUAUUCCUUUUCUCUGA